UGAAAACACCUGGGGGGUAACUAAUAAAGAUGACCAGAGGCUAGUGAACUAAAAGUGUUCCCAACGAAGCAGCCCUCUGAUCCAUAUACUUUAGCUACAUCUUACAUCACUAAGAUUCAUAUUAUAUACUGUGAUAUUCCACCUGCACAGCAAAGAAUCCCCCACUACUCACAAAAAAAUAUGAUGCUGAGAGGUUUGAGCACAACAGAUAAUUAUAUGCAAGCAAACACAUUUUUCCAUGAAGCAUUCUUUAAGGAUGUUCCAGAGGAUCUUGAAAGAUCUUUAAAGAGCUAUGAAUUGAUAGAAAUAUAAUCUUGGAUUUAUUUUUUAAUUAUUUACUAGUUAAUACAAUUACUGCUUUUAAUGUAGAACAACUUUUAACUGAUCCUACUUUGUUGUAGACUUGCAUAAAAAGGAGACAAUCUAAUGAAAUAUCUGAAAGCAAAACAAAGAGAAUAAUAAUAGUUUGAGGUCUGAAUUACAUUCUCUUGCCUUUUGAUAUGCAUUGUUAAAUUUCCUAUAAGAUAUCCUAAUAUAUUUAUUUAGAAUUUACAAUUCUACAUAAAUAUUAACUUUCUUAAUGUGAUUUUACUUUUAAGAAUCUGUCAACUUAAAUUCAUGACUACUGAAGAAUCACUUUAUCUUUAUAUAUCUGAAGACAUGAAAGUCUUAUUUACUAAGGAAUAAUGGGAUCAAAAAUUCUUCAAGCCACUCCACUUAAGUCAUUAUUUUCCAUGUUACUCAGAAUGCAUUAACUCCAGUACCAAAAUGUAACCACUAUGAUUCUUAAUGUCUUCAUGACUCUCUAAACUGUGUUGUUAAUCAUUUUGUGAUAAAUCUUUUCAGAAAGCCUAUGAUGACCAAAGUUUAUUAGAAUCAUCAAGACAUAGAAAAAAAUAAUACUGUGUUGCAUUAAAAAUGGAAAACACCCCAAAUUAACUCUUGCAGAUAGUCCACUAUCAGAGAUGGGUAAGAUAAAUAAUUUAGGACAUUCAUUUCACAUUUUCAAAUUAGUAAUGUAUAUUCUACAGCUUUCUAUUUACAUACGGAUCUAUAUGGGGUACUAUGAAAAAUACUUUUGUUAAAAUACAUUAUCAAAUUAUUUACAUAAAAUUGACUUUAAGUCAAGUUUUGCUUAUUCACAAGUAUUUAUUAUAUGUUUCACUGUGUAACCAGCUACUGUUUUUGUUAAUCAGCUUUUUUGAGGUAUGUGUUUUAUUCACUAAAAUAAGCUCAUUUUUAGUGUGUA
Saimiri boliviensis boliviensis (Bolivian squirrel monkey) is the source of this 1249-nucleotide non-coding RNA. NCBI's taxonomy places the organism in Eukaryota, Metazoa, Chordata, Mammalia, Primates, Cebidae. The record is from RefSeq and is a predicted model, not a curated record.